Molecule: ribosomal RNA, 997 nt
Filed under: Saccamminid sp. ICEMON 1
Lineage: Eukaryota; Foraminifera
Description: bacterial SSU rRNA
Rfam family: Eukaryotic small subunit ribosomal RNA
Source: RNAcentral
AAGGGCACCACAAGAACGCGUGGAGCAUGUGGCUUAAUUUGACUCAACGCGGGAAAUCUUACCGGGUCCGGACAUACUGAGGAUUGACAGGCGCUUGUAGUUCUCCUUCGGGAGAUCUGCAGUAAAUAUGCUAGUCCUUUCAUGAUUGUGUGAUAGGUGGUGCAUGGCCGUUCUUAGUUCGUGGAGUGAUCUGUCUGCUUAAUUGCGUUUCAAUAAGGACUUUUAAGUGUCGCCUGUUGCCAGCUUUGUUUUCGAACUUUGCUGUGCACGGUGACCAUGAAGUCUUGUUGGCAACGAACGUGACCGCAUCUCUGUGCUGCAUUCCAUAAAGNAUUUGCUAGUUUUCUAGNAUUUACUUUUAAUUGCAGCUAACUAGGGGGACCGCUGACAACUUUUUUAAACAGAGGAAGGUUGCGGCAAUAACAGGUCUGUGAUGCCCUUAGAUGUUCCGGGCUGCACACGUGCUACAAUGAUUAUUGCAGUGAGCAUCUAUUUUUAUUUAUUAAAGUUUGUGGAACUAUUGGUUUGGUUUGUUUCUUUUGUAGGUUGCUUUGUUACUUCGGUUUUAUCGCAACUGGCUUCUGAUCUUUCCAUAUUCGCCAAUUGUCUUUCCCAACAAACCUACUUCGAAAGUAAGUAGGUAAUCAAUUCGAAGUAAUGAUUUCCCAAUCGCACAUACAAAGUCUCCUGCUUAGGGACAUUUCUUUUGAUUUAUCAUUGGAUUUGUUUUUCCUUUGCUCGAUGACAUGUGCUCCAUUAAUUCAUGGUGGGGACAGACCAUUGAUAAUUGUUGGUCUCGGUCUCAACUAGGAAUGCCUUGUACGGGUCUUUGGUUCAACAAACCACCCGGAAUAUGUCCCUGCCCUUUGUACACACCGCCCGUCGCUCUUACCGAUGGACUAGGCUGUGAGUUUGAGGGACUGGCUCUUCUUUACGUUGAGCUAUGGAAACUUAUGCGAACAGUUUGGUCUAAAGGAAGGAGAAGUCGAACAAGGCA